Molecule: ribosomal RNA, 571 nt
Filed under: uncultured bacterium
Lineage: Bacteria
Description: bacterial SSU rRNA
Rfam family: Bacterial small subunit ribosomal RNA
Source: RNAcentral
AUUCCUACGGGAGGCAGCAGUGGGGAAUUUUCCGCAAUGGGCGAAAGCCUGGCGGAGCAAUACCGCGUGAGGGAAGACUGCCUAUGGGUUGUAAACCUCUUUUUUCAGGGAGGAAUAAAUGACGUGUACCUGAAGAAUAAGCAUCGGCUAACUCCGUGCCAGCAGCCGCGGUAAGACGGAGGAUGCAAGUGUUAUCCGGAAUCACUGGGCGUAAAGCGUCUGUAGGUGGUUUAAUAAGUCAACUGUUAAAUCUUGAGGCUCAACUUCAAAAUCGCAGUCGAAACUAUUAGACUAGAGUAUAGUAGAGGUAAAGGGAAUUUCCAGUGGAGCGGUGAAAUGCGUAGAGAUUGGAAAGAACACCGAUGGCGAAAGCACUUUACUGGGCUAUUACUAACACUCAGAGACGAAAGCUAGGGUAGCAAAUGGGAUUAGAUACCCCAGUAGUCCUAGCCGUAAACAAUGGAUACUAGAUGUUGGACAGAUCGACCUGUGCAGUAUCAAAGCUAACGCGUUAAGUAUCCCGCCUGGGAAGUAUGCUCGCAAGAGUGAAACUCAAAGGAAUUGACGGAAU